RNAcentral lists this ribosomal RNA (564 nucleotides) under Streptomyces sp. 411F03. RNAcentral describes it as "bacterial SSU rRNA". It matches the Rfam family "Bacterial small subunit ribosomal RNA", at positions 93 to 671 of the family's 1533-position model. The record is from RNAcentral. Lineage: Bacteria; Bacillati; Actinomycetota; Actinomycetes; Kitasatosporales; Streptomycetaceae. RNAcentral also lists the same sequence under 4 other names.
UAGUGGCGAACGGGUGAGUAACACGUGGGCAAUCUGCCCUGCACUCUGGGACAAGCCCUGGAAACGGGGUCUAAUACCGGAUAAUACUCUCGCAGGCAUCUGUGAGGGUUGAAAGCUCCGGCGGUGCAGGAUGAGCCCGCGGCCUAUCAGCUUGUUGGUGAGGUAGUGGCUCACCAAGGCGACGACGGGUAGCCGGCCUGAGAGGGCGACCGGCCACACUGGGACUGAGACACGGCCCAGACUCCUACGGGAGGCAGCAGUGGGGAAUAUUGCACAAUGGGCGAAAGCCUGAUGCAGCGACGCCGCGUGAGGGAUGACGGCCUUCGGGUUGUAAACCUCUUUCAGCAGGGAAGAAGCGAAAGUGACGGUACCUGCAGAAGAAGCGCCGGCUAACUACGUGCCAGCAGCCGCGGUAAUACGUAGGGCGCAAGCGUUGUCCGGAAUUAUUGGGCGUAAAGAGCUCGUAGGCGGCUUGUCACGUCGAUUGUGAAAGCCCGAGGCUUAACCUCGGGUCUGCAGUCGAUACGGGCUAGCUAGAGUGUGGUAGGGGAGAUCGGAAUUCCU